This 293-nucleotide long non-coding RNA is filed under the name Brassica rapa (field mustard). RNAcentral describes it as "long non-coding RNA (BRAP_LNC006621)". Lineage: Eukaryota; Viridiplantae; Streptophyta; Magnoliopsida; Brassicales; Brassicaceae. The record is from RNAcentral.
UGUUGUUUGAUCGGAGUCGCGUUUCGGAGAUCUUACGCAGUCGAAUUUGACGUAUCCGACUCGUUUUCGUGUUUUGGAUCAUAAUCAGAUGAAUUGGGAUUGCAAUUAGGGUUUCUUAGGAUUCUUGUGAUAUUGAUUUAAAUUAGUGAUGUUUUGUGUGAAUGAACAGGUUAUAUUAAGCUUUCAUUUCAAGUGCCUUUUGAGAUAUGGAACAAGAUUACAUCUGCUCAGGCUGCUACAAGUUUCGGGUUUCUUCGUUGCAAGAAGCACUCGAUUUGCGGUUUCUUGCGCUC